CCUUGUUUCAAAUGAAGAAAUGAAAGAGGAGUCCUGGAAAUUCAUCCUGGAAGCCUGCCUCUCCAACUAGACUCUGCUGGGUCGGGGAGCAUAACCAAGAACCUGUGUGUUUGUGGUGGCAGGGAGGGAGAUUUCAGCCCUGUUCUGGGGACUGCACUGUGGAGAAUAAGGAGAUUAUGAAACUUGGAGGUAAAACAGGACCAUG
RNAcentral lists this long non-coding RNA (205 nucleotides) under Homo sapiens (human). RNAcentral describes it as "HSALNT0016119". Lineage: Eukaryota; Metazoa; Chordata; Mammalia; Primates; Hominidae. The record is from RNAcentral.